RNAcentral lists this ribosomal RNA (1554 nucleotides) under Escherichia coli. RNAcentral describes it as "bacterial SSU rRNA". It matches the Rfam family "Bacterial small subunit ribosomal RNA". Lineage: Bacteria; Pseudomonadati; Pseudomonadota; Gammaproteobacteria; Enterobacterales; Enterobacteriaceae. The record is from RNAcentral. RNAcentral also lists the same sequence under 1 other name.
AAAUUGAAGAGUUUGAUCAUGGCUCAGAUUGAACGCUGGCGGCAGGCCUAACACAUGCAAGUCGAACGGUAACAGGAAGCAGCUUGCUGCUUUGCUGACGAGUGGCGGACGGGUGAGUAAUGUCUGGGAAACUGCCCGAUGGAGGGGGAUAACUACUGGAAACGGUAGCUAAUACCGCAUAACGUCGCAAGACCAAAGAGGGGGACCUUAGGGCCUCUUGCCAUCGGAUGUGCCCAGAUGGGAUUAGCUAGUAGGUGGGGUAAAGGCUCACCUAGGCGACGAUCCCUAGCUGGUCUGAGAGGAUGACCAGCCACACUGGAACUGAGACACGGUCCAGACUCCUACGGGAGGCAGCAGUGGGGAAUAUUGCACAAUGGGCGCAAGCCUGAUGCAGCCAUGCCGCGUGUAUGAAGAAGGCCUUCGGGUUGUAAAGUACUUUCAGCGGGGAGGAAGGGAGUAAAGUUAAUACCUUUGCUCAUUGACGUUACCCGCAGAAGAAGCACCGGCUAACUCCGUGCCAGCAGCCGCGGUAAUACGGAGGGUGCAAGCGUUAAUCGGAAUUACUGGGCGUAAAGCGCACGCAGGCGGUUUGUUAAGUCAGAUGUGAAAUCCCCGGGCUCAACCUGGGAACUGCAUCUGAUACUGGCAAGCUUGAGUCUCGUAGAGGGGGGUAGAAUUCCAGGUGUAGCGGUGAAAUGCGUAGAGAUCUGGAGGAAUACCGGUGGCGAAGGCGGCCCCCUGGACGAAGACUGACGCUCAGGUGCGAAAGCGUGGGGAGCAAACAGGAUUAGAUACCCUGGUAGUCCACGCCGUAAACGAUGUCGACUUGGAGGUUGUGCCCUUGAGGCGUGGCUUCCGGAGCUAACGCGUUAAGUCGACCGCCUGGGGAGUACGGCCGCAAGGUUAAAACUCAAAUGAAUUGACGGGGGCCCGCACAAGCGGUGGAGCAUGUGGUUUAAUUCGAUGCAACGCGAAGAACCUUACCUGGUCUUGACAUCCACGGAAGUUUUCAGAGAUGAGAAUGUGCCUUCGGGAACCGUGAGACAGGUGCUGCAUGGCUGUCGUCAGCUCGUGUUGUGAAAUGUUGGGUUAAGUCCCGCAACGAGCGCAACCCUUAUCCUUUGUUGCCAGCGGUCCGGCCGGGAACUCAAAGGAGACUGCCAGUGAUAAACUGGAGGAAGGUGGGGAUGACGUCAAGUCAUCAUGGCCCUUACGACCAGGGCUACACACGUGCUACAAUGGCGCAUACAAAGAGAAGCGACCUCGCGAGAGCAAGCGGACCUCAUAAAGUGCGUCGUAGUCCGGAUUGGAGUCUGCAACUCGACUCCAUGAAGUCGGAAUCGCUAGUAAUCGUGGAUCAGAAUGCCACGGUGAAUACGUUCCCGGGCCUUGUACACACCGCCCGUCACACCAUGGGAGUGGGUUGCAAAAGAAGUAGGUAGCUUAACCUUCGGGAGGGCGCUUACCACUUUGUGAUUCAUGACUGGGGUGAAGUCGUAACAAGGUAACCGUAGGGGAACCUGCGGUUGGAUCACCUCCUUACCUUAAAGAAGC